GACGAACGCUGGCGGCGUGCUUAACACAUGCAAGUCGAACGGAAAGGCCCUGCUUUUGUGGGUUGCUCGAGUGGCGAACGGGUGAGUAACACGUGAGUAACCUGCCCUUGACUUUGGGAUAACUUCAGGAAACUGGGGCUAAUACCGGAUAGGAGCUCCUGCUGCAUGGUGGGGGUUGGAAAGUUUCGGCGGUUGGGGAUGGACUCGCGGCUUAUCAGCUUGUUGGUGGGGUAGUGGCUUACCAAGGCUUUGACGGGUAGCCGGCCUGAGAGGGUGACCGGACACAUUGGGACUGAGAUACGGCCCAGACGCCUACGGGAGGCAGCAGUGGGGAAUAUUGCACAAUGGGCGGAAGCCUGAUGCAGCAACGCCGCGUGCGGGAUGACGGCCUUCGGGGUGUAAACCGCUUUCGCCUGUGACGAAGCGUGAGUGACGGUAAUGGGUAAAGAAGCACCGGCUAACUACGUG
RNAcentral lists this ribosomal RNA (468 nucleotides) under uncultured bacterium. Its description in RNAcentral is "partial 16S ribosomal RNA". It matches the Rfam family "Bacterial small subunit ribosomal RNA", at positions 28 to 507 of the family's 1533-position model. The record is from RNAcentral.